CUAUAUUUUAGGUUAAUAUAAUGUUCUCUAGUGUUAUAUAAUUAUGGAAUAAUGUGACACCAUUAGAUUAAACUAUACUCUAUAUUAGAUGCUCUAGAAUUCUUUGAAAUGGAAUUUAGAAGGCAUUUAGAGUGUCACCUAGGAUUUGAGGUUUUUUUUAAUUAAUACAAAAUUAAGGUUGUAAUUUUUCAAAUGCUUCUCAAUUAAUAUAUAGGGGAUAUAUAUAAGUCCAUCGUAUAUAUUCUUUCACUUUGAUAUUAUUUCACAACAAUAAUUAUUGUCUUGUUUUUACGUAUAGAUAUGUAAUGAUUUGUGCUUGCGUUUCACUCCAUACAUGAAUGAGAUUUUUUAUUGUCAAAUUAAGAAAAACUUAAAAGGGUAAAAUACAAACUCAUCUAAGAUCUUGAGAAUUUCUAGAGGAGAAUACAAACCCCAUUUAUAAAAAGACACAAACUGGUUCAUAACUUUGCUUGUAUUGCACUCCAAAACAGAAACCCUAAUCCAUGUCAAAGGAUUUGAUGAGCAUUUCCGUAGCAUCCGCUAAUGAACGGUGACUUCAUCAUGUUUGUAGCCAAGUCUGAUGAAUUCUGAGGAUAGAAUUUGUACAGCUUCAUGUUUUCAGAGGCAUGCUGGCCUAGUAGCGAGUCGUCUCAUUCUUUCUAUCGAUCUCCUAUCUCUAGCCGCUUGGUGAGCUACCUUUCCUACUCGAACACGCUCUUCGACAAGCUCUUUGAACUCGUCUUUUUAUUCCUCAGACAACCCUUCAAAUUUGAAAAUUGCGUCAGCAAACUCCUCAAACACGUAACCGGGGGGUCAGAGGGGAACAUUAUGUACACCUCAGUACUACUCUCUUCAAUAUCAUCUUCCUCCGAUUCAGAGAAAUAAGCAAGGCAAUACUCAAUCUUCUCAACACGUUCUUCCUUUUUGUUUCUGAGAGCUGCUCUCCGAUUGUUACAGAACAAAGUAAAGAUCCGAGAGCUUGUCUUCUCAACUUGUCUAUCUCUUUCUUCUAAUGGAAUGUAAGGAACCCAUCCCGUUCUCAUCGUAAUGGUUCCUUCUUCUGUUGCGCUCUGAAUGGAUCUCUUUAGAAGGCUCAGUGUUUGAUUCGAUGACAACAACCGUUGGGACAUUGACAAAAAAGUAUUCUUGAUCCUUGUCAAGACAGUGUUGAAGGUUCUGCAAACCCUAAAACAUAAACUUCUUCCCGUGGAGAAAACCCUCGUUCCUCCAAGGCUUCUUCUAGAUGUUUGAAGUCCCAGUUGAGUCCGCAGAGUGCAUCAGUUCCCACCGGAAACGCAGCUUUCCACAAAUAUUCUAGUUUCCUUGUUCGUGCCCCUCUUUCUCUUACCAUCACCACGACGAGCAGACAUCAUCUCGUCGUUUUGAAUCUCCUCCGCAAGCUCACCUUUGCGGCCUCUUACGAAUCUCCGACGAGCAGUCAGAUAAACGAAACCCUAACUCUUUCAGCAAGGAAGCGAGACAAUUGAAUGAUUUGUGUCGUUCCAUUAGCCAAUAUGUAUAGAACAUUGAAAUCGUACUGAGAAAAGGAAAGAUGAUUCCGUAAAAGAAGGAAAACUCAUAUCAUUUGAGUAUAUUUCCAUUUUCGGAAAGAAAAGACCCUACAAAUUGUUUGUUUGUUUUUUGCUUAUUUGGCUUAUUUUUUCAACGCAGCUAAGAAGAAAAUUAGGAUCUACUUAUCAUUGAUUAA
Long non-coding RNA from Brassica napus (rape), 1708 nucleotides. RefSeq lists it as uncharacterized. The transcript is spliced from 2 exons. NCBI's taxonomy places the organism in Eukaryota, Viridiplantae, Streptophyta, Magnoliopsida, Brassicales, Brassicaceae. The record is from RefSeq and is a predicted model, not a curated record.